RNAcentral lists this ribosomal RNA (445 nucleotides) under uncultured bacterium. Its description in RNAcentral is "SSU rRNA". It matches the Rfam family "Bacterial small subunit ribosomal RNA", at positions 26 to 518 of the family's 1533-position model. The record is from RNAcentral.
AGAGCGAACGCUGGCGGCAGGCCUAACACAUGCAAGUCGAGCGCCGUAGCAAUACGGAGCGGCAGACGGGAGAGUAACACGUGGGAACGUACCCUUUGGUUCGGAACAACCCAGGGAAACUUGGGCUAAUACCGAAUAAGCCCUUACGGGGAAAGAUUUAUCGCCGAAGGAUCGGCCCGCGUCUGAUUAGCUAGUUGGUGGGGUAACGGCCCACCAAGGCGACGAUCAGUAGCUGGUCUGAGAGGAUGAUCAGCCUCAUUGGGACUGAGACACGGCCCAAACUCCUACGGGAGGCAGCAGUGGGGAAUAUUGGACAAUGGGCGCAAGCCUGAUCCAGCCAUGCCGCGUGGGUGAUGAAGGCCCUAGGGUUGUAAAACCCUUUCGGCGGGGAAGAUAAUGACGGUACCCGCAGAAGAAGCCCGGCUAACUUCGUGCCAGCAGCCGC